CACAAGCGGUGGAGCAUGUGGUUAAUUCGACGCAACGCGAAGAACCUUACAGGGCUUGACAUCCCCUGACCGCGUAUGAAAGUACGUUUUCACCCUCGGGUGACAGGGAGACAGGUGGUGCAUGGUUGUCGUCAGCUCGUGUCGUGAGAUGUUGGGUUAAGUCCCGCAACGAGCGCAACCCCUACGUUUAGUUGCUAACAGGUGAAGCUGAGCACUCUAGACGAACUGCCGUUGACAAAACGGAGGAAGGUGGGGAUGACGUCAAAUCAUCAUGCCCCUUAUGUUCUGGGCUACACACGUGCUACAAUGGCCGGUACAGACGGACGCAAAGCCGCGAGGUGGAGCAAAUCCUAAAAAGCCGGUCUCAGUUCGGAUUGCAGGCUGCAAUUCGCCUGCAUGAAGUCGGAAUCGCUAGUAAUCGCAGGUCAGCAUACUGCGGUGAAUACGUUCCCGGGCCUU
This 459-nucleotide ribosomal RNA is filed under the name uncultured Pelotomaculum sp. Its description in RNAcentral is "bacterial SSU rRNA". It matches the Rfam family "Bacterial small subunit ribosomal RNA", at positions 924 to 1382 of the family's 1533-position model. The record is from RNAcentral. Lineage: Bacteria; Bacillati; Bacillota; Clostridia; Eubacteriales; Desulfotomaculaceae.